CUCAUAAGGGUAUAUGGUGGAUGCCUUGGGAUAUUGAGGCGAAGAAGGACGUGGCGUAGCUGCGAUAAGCCUCGGGGAGGUGUGUAGCAACCUUUGAUCCGGGGAUUUCCGAAUGGGGAAACCCGAUUCCGAUAAAUCGGAAUCGGUCCUGUCGAAUGACGGGACCGCGAACUCGGCGAAGUAAAACAUUUCAGUAGCCGGAGGAAAAGAGAAAGAUUUUUAUUUCCUUAGUAGCGGCGAGCGAAAAGGAAAGAGCCUAAACUUUUUAAAAUUUUCGCAAGAAAAUUUUAAAAGGGGUUGUAAGAUAGUGACAUCGGGGGUAACUCCGAGGAGUGCAACAAAAUAAGACUUCCUUAAUUGAAGGUGGCUGGAAAGCCCCACCACAGAAGGUAAUAGUCCUGUAAGUGAAAAGGGUCUUAUACUCCUAGUCAUUAUUCUUGAGUACGGCGAGAAACGAUAACCUUGUCGGAAGCAGGCAGAACUAUUCUGCCAAGGCUAAAUACUCAAUGUCACCGAUAGUGAACUAGUACCGUGAGGGAAAGGUGAAAAGUAGCCCAGUAAGGGCGGUGAAAUAGUGCCUGAAACCAUAUACUUACAAAGAGUCGGAGGUCCCGAUUUUAUCGGGACUGACGGCGUACUUUUUGCAGAACGACCCAACGAGUUUUUGUGUCUUCUUUGUCUAAGUCCUAUUAGGACGGAGGCAGAGGGAAACCGAGUGUGAAUAGCGCGAUUAUGAGAGGACACAAAAGACCCGAAGCCAGGCGAGCUAACCAUGGCCAGGAUGAACCCCGAUUAAUAUCGGGGGAAGGUCCGGACCCACCAGCCGUGCAAUACUGGGGGAUGAGCUGUGGUUAGAAGUGAAAAGCUAAUCGAGCCUGGUAAUAGCUGGUUCUCCUCGAAAUAGCUUUUGGGCUAGCCUCUUGUGUUCCUCUUAGGGGUAGAGCACUGGAUGGGUUAAGGUGGCGUAAGCCUACUUACCCAACCAAACUCCGAAUACUAAGAGUUAAAACAAGGGAGUCAGACUACGGGGGCUAAGCUUCGUAGUCGAAAGGGAAACAGCCCUGAUCGUCAUCUAAGGUCCCAAAGCUAAGUUAAGUGUAGCAAAAGAAGUGCCUUACCUUUGACAGAUGGGAUGUUAGCUUAGAAGUAGCUACCAUUUAAAGAGUGUGUAACAACUCACCAUUCUAUCACCUAGUACGGUGAGGCGCGCUGAAAAUGUACCGGGGCUCAAACUUAGCACCGAAGAUACGGAUCUCUCCGAUUUUUAUCGGAGGGGUGGUAGAGGAGCAUUUUCCUGGCAGCGAAGUCGUCUUGUAAGAGACGGUGGAGCCGGGGGAAGAGAGAAUGUUGGGAUGAGUAACCGCAAAUCCGAUGAGAAAUCGGAUCACCGAAAACCCAAGGUUUCCUUGGCAAUGUAAAUCAGCCAAGGGUUAGGCGAACCUAAGGCAAACCCGAAAGGGUUAGUCGAUGGACAGCCGGUUAAUAUUCCGGCCCUCCUUCACUUUUCGAUGGAAUGACGAGAUUUAGUAACCUGAGCGCGUUAUUGGAUUCGCGUUGUUUGCUUAAGGACGUUUAACAGGAAAAUCCGUUAAACGCCAGUCCAAGAGCCGACAAAAGAUUUGUCUUCGGACGGAUUAAUUCAGGUGAGCAGGUCUCCAAGAAAAUUUUCUAGAAUUAGAAGUGAAGGAUUCGUACCGUAAACCGACACAGGUGGGUAGGGCGAGAAGCCCAAGGUGAACGGGUGAAACCUCGUUAAGGAACUCGGCAAAAUAACGGCCGUAAGUUCGCAAUAAGGCCUUCCCGAUGAUGAAUCGGGACGCAGUUAAAGAUCCCUAGCGACUGUUUACUAAAAACACAGGUCCCUGCUAACUCGCAAGAGGAUGUAUAGGGGCUGACACUUGACCAGUGCUAGAAGGUUAACGAUGGGGGUUGUUCCGCAAGNNNNNNNNNACACUUGACCAGUGCUAGAAGGUUAACGAUGGGGGUUGUUCCGCAAGGGACAGCUCACUGUCCGAAGCCCUAGUGAACGUCGGCGAUAACUAUAAUUGACGAUUGUAGUUAUAAAAUUUGGCUAUAUGCUGGAAAGUCCGGAACAUAUUAGUGUACUCGUUUCAUUAAAGAAGCAGUAAAAAUCACUAAUCAUUAUUUGAAAUAAAAUUUCAGAUAGCCGGAUAAUCAGCAGGAAAGACUUAUGAACAAUUCAAAAUGGUUAAAUGAUAUUCCUUUAGAAUGGGGACAUUAUAUUGCUGGAUUUGUUGAUGGAGAAGGAAGCUUCAAUGUUUCUUUAAGAAAAAGAGAUGAUCAUACAAUGAAAUGGCAAGUAGUUUUAACUUUUAAUGUCUCCCAAAAGGAAUUGUAUAUUCUUUCGCAGCUUAAAAAAUAUUUAAAUUGCGGAAGAUUGCAAACAAGGAGAGAUGGUGUAAAUUAUUAUGUUUGUUCUAAUCCAAUGGCGAUUAGAGAAAAGAUAAUACCAUUUUUCCAAAAAUUCCAAUUUCGUUCAGCACAGAAAAAGAAAAAUUUUUCAAUUUUUUGCCAGAUAGCAAAAAAAGUUUUUAACAGAGAGCAUUUAACAGAAAAAGGAUUAAGAGAAAUAGUUUGGUUACGAGAAAAAUUGAACGAAGGAAAAGGCAGAAAAAGAAAAUACGAAUUGAACGAUUACGAAAAAUCGUUAAAUAAGAAUCCUCAGAGACUAUACGCCAAACCGCGAAAAUUCAGAAAAGAAUUUAGCGGAUGAUAUAGUCCGAUCUCAUAAGCGAUUAUGAGCAUAACAUUAAGAAUCGUCCUAAGGUACCGAAAUUCCUUGGCAUGUAAGUUAUGUCCUGCAGGAAAAGUGUAACGACUGGGGAACUGUCUCAACGAGGAGCCCGGU
Molecule: ribosomal RNA, 2869 nt
Filed under: Candidatus Portnoybacteria bacterium CG10_big_fil_rev_8_21_14_0_10_38_18
Lineage: Bacteria; Candidatus Portnoyibacteriota
Description: bacterial LSU rRNA
Rfam family: Bacterial large subunit ribosomal RNA
Source: RNAcentral